This 668-nucleotide long non-coding RNA is filed under the name Homo sapiens (human). RNAcentral describes it as "HSALNT0317663". Lineage: Eukaryota; Metazoa; Chordata; Mammalia; Primates; Hominidae. The record is from RNAcentral.
CAACACUAAUUUGACAUUUAAUCAAGACUCUCUACAAGUUGACUAUCUCUUACUGGCUGUGUGACUUCUACGGAAGGCAAACUGAGUCUGGGGCUUAAUAUCUCCGUGAGGAGAUGGCAGGUGGAAAACCGAACACAGUCAACUCAAGAGAAAGUCAAAGGCCACACACAAAAAAGAGAAAAGACCUCUGUGGACACAGUAAUUUUUAAGAGCAGAAAACAUAAUAUCAAUAAUUUAAAAACGAGAAAAACGACAGAAUUAGCCAGGAAGUUAUUCCUCUUGAGCACAUGAAUACUCUUUACUAAGGUCCUUGUCUCUACCCAUCAGCCGAAAGUCCUACUUGUUUUCUCACCAUCUAGCACCUCUGCUCGAGAUUACCCCCCACCUCAGAUUGUAGGCUUCAGUUUCAACUGGCUCAGCUCCUGUUUGCCUUUCUAUGAUAUGAAACUAUUUCCAUGAGGCAAUGAGGAAACAGGCGGAAAUCCACGUGACAGAAAGCCGGUAAGGACGCAGAAUGCCAAUUCUGCUGGAGAGGGUGGGAAUCUUGCCUCCACCUUGACUUUUCUGUAUUUUAUGUAGUGAGAAACUGAAUCCAGUUAAGACGCUUUUCAUUUUCAUCAUUCUGUUUUCUCUUAAUCAGGUGUUAUAACACACGGAACAUAAAAAAC